AAUCAGGUUUAGGAGUUCCCAUUGUGGUUCAGCAGUUAACGAAUCUGUCCAUGAGGACUCAGGUUUGAUCCCUGGCCUUGCUCAGUGGGUUAAGGAUCUGGCGUUGCCGUGAGCUGUGGUGUAGAUUGCAGAUGCGGCUCGGAUCCUGCAUUGCUGUGGCUGUGGUGUAGGCCAGCGGCUACAGCUCCGAUUCAUCCCCUAACCUGGGAACCUCCAUGUGCUGAAAGUGUGGCCCUAAAAAAGCCAAAAAAAAAAAAAAAAAAAAAAAAGGUCUAACUGGGAAGACUAUUUAAACUCUACCUAGAUGCUAACUUUAGCAUUGAAGAUUUCAACAUCUGACUGCAGAGAAAUAGCGCUGAUACAUAUAAUCCAUAUAGAACUUGUGUGGCCAUGCAGUUGGAGCAUUGCUGCCCUUUCUCACAUCACAUUUCCUCUUCUGCAGGGGUGAUCCAGUAACAAGUGUAUUUAUCAUUUUCAGACCAUUCUAGAAAACAGAAGACCAGCCAGGAACCCAUACUCUUGUCCUGCCUCUGGCCAUUGUGGGAGUGAUUACAGCUGCCCUCCCCCAUAGCACUCAGGCACUGAAAAGUUCAAGGGCAUGGAGGGCUUAUCUCUGUCAGCUCUUUCCUUUGGUAGCUGUAGGACAACUGUUAGAAAUCAGAAUGGGAAGAGAGAGGAGGGAGGAGAGUGAGUUGGCUGAAUACCAUGGCCAGAUGUCCAGAAACCAAACCAUAAUCAUCUUUUCAGCUAGUGUCCUUGAAUUCCUUGAGCUAUUCUUGACAUUCUUAUAAACUUGAAUAUCCGUUUAUGUCAUCGGUGUCAAUUCAAAUCAUGGGUUCCGUGGAGCGUUUGAUGAAUGAUCUUCAGUUUUAUCACAGGCAAAUACUUUAGAGUUCAAUCAGUUGUUUUGUUUAAGGAAGCACUUUGGGAUUUUUCCACACAUCUCUUUCUAGAUAAAAGUUUAGUUUUAAGAGCAGUGCUUUGCCAAUCUUUACAGGUUUGUACUUUGGAGAAGUCCCUGCUGAUAUUACUGUAACAUUUGCCAAAGAAACUGCCUAAUGUCGUGUUAACACAAUAAAAAUGAUGACCAACCUUGACUCCA
RNAcentral lists this long non-coding RNA (1102 nucleotides) under Sus scrofa (pig). Its description in RNAcentral is "lncRNA (ENSSSCG00055010115.1)". Lineage: Eukaryota; Metazoa; Chordata; Mammalia; Artiodactyla; Suidae. The record is from RNAcentral.